This 400-nucleotide ribosomal RNA is filed under the name uncultured bacterium. RNAcentral's name for it is "bacterial SSU rRNA". It matches the Rfam family "Bacterial small subunit ribosomal RNA", at positions 355 to 774 of the family's 1533-position model. The record is from RNAcentral.
UGGGGAAUUUUGCACAAUGGGGGCAACCCUGAUGCAGCGACGCCGCGUGAUUUAGAAGGCCUUCGGGUUGUAAAAAUCUUUUGUAUAGGAAGAAAAUGACAGUACUAUACGAAUAAGGUCCGGCUAAUUACGUGCCAGCAGCCGCGGUAAUACGUAAGGACCGAGCGUUGUCCGGAAUCAUUGGGCGUAAAGGGUACGUAGGCGGUUAGAAAAGUUAGAAGUGAAAGGCUAUAGCUCAACUAUAGUAAGCUUUUAAAACUGUUUAACUUGAGAGAUGGAAGGGAAAGUGGAAUUCCUAGUGUAGCGGUGAAAUGCGCAGAUAUUAGGAGGAAUACCGGUGGCGAAGGCGACUUUCUGGCCAUUAUCUGACGCUGAGGUACGAAAGCGUGGGUAGCAAACA